This 253-nucleotide ribosomal RNA is filed under the name uncultured bacterium. RNAcentral describes it as "partial 16S ribosomal RNA". It matches the Rfam family "Bacterial small subunit ribosomal RNA", at positions 524 to 776 of the family's 1533-position model. The record is from RNAcentral.
UACGGAAUGUGCAAACGUUAUUCGGAAUCACUGGGCUUAAAGAGUCCGUAGGCGGCAUGUUAGGUGAGGUGUGAAAUCCCCCGGCUCAACCGAGGAAUUGCGCUUCAAACCGGCGUGCUCGAGGAAGAUAGAGGUGGGCGGAACUGAUGGUGGAGCGGUGAAAUGCGUUGAUAUCAUCAGGAACACCGGAGGCGAAAGCGGCCCACUGGGUCUUUUCUGACGCUGAGGGACGAAAGCUAGGGGAGCAAACAGG